RNAcentral lists this long non-coding RNA (1124 nucleotides) under Salmo salar (Atlantic salmon). RNAcentral describes it as "lncRNA (ENSSSAG00000117209.1)". The record is from RNAcentral. Lineage: Eukaryota; Metazoa; Chordata; Actinopteri; Salmoniformes; Salmonidae.
CUUCACACCGCGUGGCCGCUGCCGCUCUAACCUGGUGGUCCCAGCGCGCACGACCCACGUGGAGUUCCAGGUCUCCGGCAGCCUCUGGAACUGCCGGUCUGCGGCCAACAAGGCUGAGUUCAUCUCAGCCUAUGCUACCCUCCAGUCCCUAGACUUCCUGGCGCUGACGGAAACAUGGAUCACCACAGAUAACACUGCUACUCCUACUGCUCUCUCCUCGUCUGACUACGUGUUCUCGCAUACCCCUAGAGCAUCGAGCCAGCGGGGUGGUGGCACUGGAAUCCUCAUCUCUCCCAAGUGGACAUUCUCUCUUUCUCCCCUGACCCAUCUGUCUAUCUCCUCAUUUGAAUUCCAUGCUGUCACAGUUACCAGCCCUUUCAAGCUUAACAUCCUUAUAAUUUAUCGCCCUCCAGGUUCCCUUGGAGAGUUCAUCAAUGAGCUUGACGCCUUGAUAAGUUCCUUUCCUGAGGAUGGCUCACCUCUCACAGUUCUGGAUGAACUCUCGCGUCUUGUGACGGCCGGCCGCCCAACAACCUGCCCACUUGACCCUAUCCCCUCCUCUCUUCUCCAGACCAUUUCCGGAGACCUUCUCCCCUACCUCACCUCGCUCAUCAACGCAUCCUUGACCGCUGGCUACGUCCCUUCCGUCUUCAAGAGAGCGAGAGUUGCACCCCUUCUGAAAAAACCUACACUCGAUCCCUCCGAUGUCAACAACUACAGACCUAUCUGCUGCCUUUGAUACCGUGAACCAUCAGAUCCUCCUCUCCACCCUCUCCGAGCUGGGCAUCUCCGGCACCGCGCACGCUUGGAUUGCGUCCUACCUGACAGGUGGCGAAUCGCAUCUCUGCAUGUCUGGCAGACAUAUCAGUGUGGAUGACGGAUCACCACCUCAAGCUGAACCUCGGCAAGACGGAGCUGCUCUUCCUCCCGGGGAAGGACUGCCCGUUCCAUGAUCUCGCCAUCACGGUUGACAACUCCCUUGUGUCCUCCUCCCAGAGUGCUAAGAGCCUUGGCGUGACCCUGGACAACACCCUGUCGUUCUCCACCAACAUCAAGGCGGUGACCCGAUCCUGUAGGUUCAUGCUCUACAACAUUCGCAGAGUACGACCCUGCCUCACACAGGA